GCUACAUGUUUUACUUUAAAUCGUUUACCUUGAAAUAAGUUAUACUGUAAAUGAACUCAAAAUGAUAAAAAAAGAAGAAAAAAAAUCUCUAUAAAAGUGCAAAAUGUUAAUAAUAAUGAUAAUUUAAAACGGACGCCUUACCCUUAAUAAUAAAUCAUGUCUGUAAAUUAUAGGAACUAACACAAAUGAAUAUAUUACAGCAAAUUCUAAUUUUUUGAGAAUUAAUUUACAGAAAAAAUAAUUCAGUUACUUAGGUGUUUAAAUGACCUUGAAAUUUAAUCCCAGUAUUAUUAGACUGACAGUUAAGCUGUUUUACAUGACAAGACUGUCUUGUUUACUCACAAAACAUAAUUAUAAUCCUACGAAUAUUUGAAUGUACUACUGACCUAGUAGACAGGGCAUGUACGCAACUGAUAACAAAAAGGAAGUUUCAUAACCAUAAAUUGUUUAAACAUCACAUGAAUUCUACAUGUAAGGCAACUUAUAAGAUUUGAUUUCAAAAAGAUGCCUAAAGCAACGAUGGGGUGGGACUUUAGAAAAAAAAGAUGGACGAAACGUUAAGGAUGAAAACCUUUGAAUAUUCGUGUACUUCAUAAAUUAAAUUAAAUAUUGAACAGCAUAAAGUCAUGAGUUCACAUUUACAGCUAUCAAAUGGCUUACUAUAAUAGAUAUGAUGAACAAUGGAAUGUCCAAUGGAUUGUCACAAUUGUUGUUGUACUAGUUGUCUUUUUUGUAUGGAAAAAAAGACAUUUAAAGAAGAAAAAUAUUGAGAAGAAAGAAUUGAACACGAAAGAAAGUCAGACAGACAAAUGCGCACUUUUGUCUUCGGAAACACAAACAGACAAAUGCGCACUUGUGUCUACGAAAACACAAACAGCAAAAAGUAAAUGGUUCACAGAAAGGUUAACAGAAUUUGAUACACGCGAUUUAGGAUCAGACGAAGCAUUCGACUUUGCCUGUGAAAUAUGUGAUAUUGGAAAAAGGCCGUUGGAUUCUGUCUUUGGUGUGAACAAUAUUUAUGCCUGAAAUGUUGCAAACAUCAUGAAAAGAUACGAUUUAGCGAAAACCAUGUGCUGAAAGGGAAAGAGGAUUAUUUAUGUUCUAAGAAGCAAGUAUCAAUGUACGGGAGAAAACUUGUCCCAGUGUCUGCGAAAUAUAUAAGAAAUUUAGUUACAAUACUGAUUGAUGAAAAGACGGAAAGUUUUGUUCCUAUUGCGCAAAUGGGCGGGUAUCUCUGCACCAUAUCUAUGUUCGACACAUGUCGAACGGCUUGCCCUAUAUCAUCUGUCGGCUCUUGCGCACACAAGUAUGAAGAUCCUGAAAUAUUGUUCUUCAUAGACAGCAACAGAUGCAUUAUGCGAUUUUGCACAGAGCAUAAAAUAGCAAUCAACUGUUUUGUCACACUAAGUAAUUGCACAAGUAUUACUAAAUUUAAUCUGGCCUUGCAGUUGCUCAAUAUAUAUCAACGCGCUACUCUGUACCAAGCUGGAGUAUUCAGUUUCUCGAUUUUACAGGAAAUAUUAACAAUUAUGUGGUUUACGAUGCAGAAGGGCGGCAUUUGUUUAACAAUAUUUACAGUCUAACUGCCGACAAUACUGGGAAUUUCCUUUAUGUGUGUGACCAGACGAGUUGCAUGGUUACCGUUUUUGGCACAAAUGGUAAACUUAUUAGGAAAAUAGCAUUCAAUUUAGACGUAUACCCACGAGAACUGGACUUUGACAGUGAAGGUAACAUUUAUUUGGCAUGUGCUUAUCAAGUUAUCCAGGUCGAUGCGCUGUGUAAAACAUUCAGAGUGCUGUUCACAUUAAAUGAAGAUCAGGAAAAUCCAGAAGGCAACGAAAUAACACAUGUCCGCUUCAACAAAUCGACAAACAAGAUGAUCAUUGUGGAAAACGCAACAACAGUCACGGCAUUCUCCUUUCUUCCUGAAUACUGUCGCAAAUCUAGUAUUCACAAGUUUCCAUCUGCAAAAUAAUAUUUAAGCUCAAGUGUUAUAUUCCAUAAAGCUUCGCGGACGCAUAGAGUCGAUUCUUGACUUACAUGUUGCCAGGGGUAAAACGCAACGAAAUGCUAUUCGGAUUUUACCUUACUUUGCUUAACUUACUUUUUGCUUGUGUCAUUAUACAACCGUGUGUUGUGGUCACUUGUGUUAGAGUUAAGCUUCUUUGGGAAUUAUAAUACCUACACUGUCUCGUUUUGGGUCGUAUGAGAUAGGCGGACCGCAAACGCGCUUAGAUCCAUCUGUUUAUUUCUGUACACCUGUUUUUAGGCUGGCGAUAUUCGCCAGACUAUUAUAAUCAUAUAUCGAGUUCCCAUAAAGUUCAACAGGUGCUGAGACUGACAACACAAAAUAUAAUUUCAUGCGCAAUUCAAAUAGUCCGCCACGUUUAUCAGUUUUGCCAUAGAGUUGUAUAAAGAUUGUUAAACUUACCUGUUUCAAUAGAUCUAUUUGUCAAACA
This is a long non-coding RNA of Mercenaria mercenaria, 2459 nucleotides long. RefSeq lists it as uncharacterized. The transcript has 2 exons. The record is from RefSeq and is a predicted model, not a curated record. NCBI's taxonomy places the organism in Eukaryota, Metazoa, Mollusca, Bivalvia, Venerida, Veneridae.